RNAcentral lists this ribosomal RNA (995 nucleotides) under uncultured bacterium. Its description in RNAcentral is "bacterial SSU rRNA". It matches the Rfam family "Bacterial small subunit ribosomal RNA", at positions 356 to 1376 of the family's 1533-position model. The record is from RNAcentral.
GGGGAAUAUUGCACAAUGGGGGAAACCCUGAUGCAGCGACGCCGCGUGGAGGAAGAAGGUCUUCGGAUUGUAAACUCCUGUUGUUGGGGAAGAUAAUGACGGUACCCAACAAGGAAGUGACGGCUAACUACGUGCCAGCAGCCGCGGUAAUACGUAGGGGGCAAGCGUUAUCCGGAUUUACUGGGUGUAAAGGGAGCGUAGACGGAUGGACAAGUCUGAUGUGAAAGGCUGGGGCUCAACCCCGGGACUGCAUUGGAAACUGCCCGUCUUGAGUGCCGGAGAGGUAAGCGGAAUUCCUAGUGUAGCGGUGAAAUGCGUAGAUAUUAGGAGGAACACCAGUGGCGAAGGCGGCCUACUGGGCACCAACUGACGCUGAGGCUCGAAAGUGUGGGUAGCAAACAGGAUUAGAUACCCUGGUAGUCCACACCGUAAACGAUGAUUACUAGGUGUUGGAGGAUUGACCCCUUCAGUGCCGCAGUUAACACAAUAAGUAAUCCACCUGGGGAGUACGACCGCAAGGUUGAAACUCAAAGGAAUUGACGGGGGCCCGCACAAGCAGUGGAGUAUGUGGUUUAAUUCGACGCAACGCGAAGAACCUUACCAAGUCUUGACAUCCUGCGACGGUGCUGGAAACAGCAUUUUCCUUCGGGACGCAGAGACAGGUGGUGCAUGGUUGUCGUCAGCUCGUGUCGUGAGAUGUUGGGUUAAGUCCCGCAACGAGCGCAACCCUUACUGUCAGUUACUACGCAAGAGGACUCUGGCAGGACUGCCGUUGACAAAACGGAGGAAGGUGGGGAUGACGUCAAAUCAUCAUGCCCUUUAUGACUUGGGCUACACACGUACUACAAUGGCGUUAAACAAAGAGAAGCAAGACCGCGAGGUGGAGCAAAACUCAGAAACAACGUCCCAGUUCGGACUGCAGGCUGCAACUCGCCUGCACGAAGUCGGAAUUGCUAGUAAUCGUGGAUCAGCAUGCCACGGUGAAUACGUUCCCG